This 253-nucleotide ribosomal RNA is filed under the name uncultured bacterium. RNAcentral describes it as "partial 16S ribosomal RNA". It matches the Rfam family "Bacterial small subunit ribosomal RNA", at positions 524 to 776 of the family's 1533-position model. The record is from RNAcentral.
UACAGAGGUCUCAAGCGUUGUUCGGAUUCAUUGGGCGUAAAGGGUGUGUAGGUGGCGCGCUAAGUCGGGUGUGAAAUUUCGGAGCUUAACUCCGAAACUGCAUUCGAUACUGGCGUGCUUGAGGACUGGAGAGGAGACUGGAAUUCAUGGUGUAGCAGUGAAAUGCGUAGAGAUCAUGAGGAAGACCAGUGGCGAAGGCGGCUUCCUGGCCUGCUCUUGACGCUGAGGCGCGAAAGCUAGGGUAGCAAACGGG